This 3440-nucleotide ribosomal RNA is filed under the name Capsicum annuum. RNAcentral's name for it is "eukaryotic LSU rRNA". The stretch from base 390 to 3406 matches the Rfam family "Eukaryotic large subunit ribosomal RNA". Lineage: Eukaryota; Viridiplantae; Streptophyta; Magnoliopsida; Solanales; Solanaceae. The record is from RNAcentral.
AAAAUGACUCUUGGGAACAGAUAUCUCGGCUCUCACAUCAAUGAAGAACGUAGUAAAAUGUGAUACUUGGUGUGAAUUGAAAAUCCCAUGAACCAUAGAGUAUUUGAACGUAAGUUGCGCCAGAAGCCAUUAGGCCGAGGGAACAUCUACCUAGGCGUCACGCAUUGCAUCGCCCCCAUCGCAUCGUGCCUCAAUCACAGGGCUCGCUGUUGUUGUGGGGUGGAUACUGGCCUCCCAUGCACCUCGAGCUCGUGGCUGGCCUAAAUGCGAGUCACGUCGAUGGACAUCACGGCAAGUGGUGGUUGUAUCUCAACUCUCUUUGUUGUCGUGGCUAUAGCUCAUUGCACGUCCGAACUCCAGGACCCUUUCACGCUUAGGCACUCCGACCGCGACCCCAGGUCAGGCAGGGUUAUUCGCUGAGUUUAAGCAUAUCAAUAAGAAGAAUAAAAGAAACAUACAAGGAUUCCCUUAGUAACGGUGAGCGAACUGGGAAUAGCCCAUCCUUAGAAUAUGGCGGCUCUGUCACCCGAAUUGUAGUUUGGAGAAGUGUCCUCAGCGGUGGACCGGGUCCAAGUCCCCUGGAAGGGGGCGCCAAAGAGGGUGAGAGCCCCAUUGUACCUGGACCCUGUCGCACCAUAAGGCACUGUCUAUGAGUCGGGUUGUUUGGGAAUGCAGCCCAAAUUGGGCGGUGAAUUCCGUCCAAGGCUAAAUACGGGCGACAGAACGAUAGCGAACAAGUACCACGAGGGAAAGAUGAAAAGGACUUUGAAAAGAGAGUCAAAGAGUUCUUGAAAUUAUCGGUAGAGAAGUGGAUAGGGGCCAGUUAUAUGCUCUGAUCGGAUAUUGAAUGGUGACGAGCCGAUCCAACGAUUGACUUGGGGCAUGGACCAGCGUGGAUUGGGGUGGCGGCCAAAGUGUGGGCUCUCGAUAUGCUCGUGGAAUGCCAUUUCCUCGAUUGUGGUAGGCAGCGCGUGCCUCCGGCAUGCUUUGGCAUCUGCGCGCUAAAGACACUGGCCUGUGGGCUCCCUAUUUGACCUAUCUUGAAAAAUAGACCAAGGAGUCUGACAUGUGUGUGAGUCAAUGGGCGAGUAAACCCGUAAGGCGUAAGGAAGCUGAUUGGUGGUAUCCCCCCGAGGGGUGCACCACCGACCGACCUUGAUCUUCUGAGAAGGGUUCGAGUGUGAGCUUACCUGUCGGGACCUAAAAGAUGGUUAACUAUGCCUGAGCGGGGCAAAGCUAGAGGAAACUCUGGUAGAGGCCCACAACGUACUGACGUGCAAAUCAUUCGUCUGACUUGGGUAUAGGGUCCGCGACUGCUUUGUCGAGCCGUGCCACAGAAUUAAGAGCUCCAAGUGGCCGAUUUUUGGUAAGAAUAACUGGCGAUUCGGGAUGAAAUGAAAGCUGGGUUAUGGUGCCAAGCUAAGUGCUAACCUAGAUCCCACAAAGGGUGUUGGUCGAUUAAGACCGCAGAACGGUGGACAUGGAAGUCAAAAUCCGCUAAGAAUUAUGCAAUAACUCACCUGCCAAAUAAACUAGCCCCGAAAAUAUAUGGCGCUUAAGCGCGGGACCUACACCCGUCCGUCGGGGAAAGUUCCAGGCCCCGAUGAGUAGGAGAGCGCGGCGGUCACUGGAAAACCUUGGGCGCGAGCUCUAGUAGAGUGGCCAAAGGUGUAGAAAUUGGUGGUAGUAGUAAAUAUUCAAAUAAGAACCUUGAAGGCCGAAGAGCGGAAAGGUUCUAUGUGAACGGAAUUGCACAUGGAUUAGUCGACCCUAAGGGUUGGGGGAACCCCAACAGAUAGUGCUUUUCACGGGUACUCCAAAAGAGAAUCAAGUUAAAAUUCCUGGAACAGGACGUGGCGGUCGACGGAAACGUUAGGAAGUCCAGAGACGUUGGCGGGAGCCUCAGGAAGAGUUAUCUUUUCUGUUUAACAACCUGCCCACCCUGGAAUCAACUCAGCCAAAGGUAGGGUCCAGCGGCUGAAAGAGCACCGCACGUCGCGUGGUGUCCUGUACACUACCGGCGGCCCUUGAAAAUCAAGAGGACCGAAUGCCGUCCACAACCGGUCGUACUCAUAACCACAUCAGGUAUGAGAGGGGAACAACCUCUGGUCGAUGGAAUAAUAUAGGCAAGGAAAGUCUGCAAAAAUGGAUCAAUAACAUCUGGAAAAGGAUUGGCACUGAGGGCUGGGCAUGGGGUUCCCAGUCCCGAACCCGUCGGCUGUUGGUGGACUGCUCGAGAUGCUUCCACAGUGAUAGUGGGUCACCGCGUGCCAGCCGGGGGAAGGACUAGGAACGGUUCCUUUGGGGGCCUUCCUCGCAUGUCAAAUAGCCAACUCAAAACUGGUACGGACAAGGGGAAUCUGACUGUUUAAUUAAAAGAAAGCAUUGCUAUGGUCCCAACGGAUGUUCACGCAUUGUGAUUUCUGUCCAGUGCUCUGAAUGUCAAAGUGAAGAAAUUCAACCAAGCGCGGGUAAAGGUUGGUAGUAACUAUGACUCUCUUAAGGUAGCCAAAUGCCUAAUCAUCUAAUUAGUGACGCGCAUGAAUGGAUUAACGAGAUUCCGACCAUCCCUGUCUACUAUCCAGUGAAACCACAACCAAGGGAAUGGGCUAGGCAGAAUCAAUGGUGAAAGAAGACCCUUUUUAGCUUGGCUCUACUCCGACUUUGUGAAAUAACUUGAGAGGUGUAGUAUAAGUGCACUGCCCCUCUUUUUGGACCCAAGGCUCGCUCUACGGGCCGAUCUGGGUGGAAUACAUUUUUAGGUGGGGAGUUUGGCUAGGGUGGCACAUCUGUUAAAAGAUAAUGCAGGUGUUCUAAGAUGAGAUCAACGAGAACAGAAAUAUCCUGUGAAAUAGAAUGGUAAAAGAUUGUUUGGUUGUGAUUUCCAAUACGAAUAUGAACCAUGAAAGCGUUCUCUAACGAUCCUUUAGACCUUCAGAAUUCGAAACUAGAGGUGCAAAAAAAGAGUUACCAUUGGGAUAACUGGCAUGUUGCAGCCAAGCGUUCAUAGGGACGUUGCUUUUUCAUCCUUCGAUGUCGGCUCUUCCUAUCAUUGUGAAGCAGAAUUCACCAAGUGUUGGACUGUUCACCCACCAAUAGGGAAUGUGAUCUGGGUUUAGACCGUCAUGAGACGGGUUAGUUUUACCCUACUUAUGACAAUGUAAGUUCACCUCACCCGAGUUAGCGUCUUAUUUUUCAAGUGUCGCUUGCAUUCCAUUCCAAAUAGUUAAGUACACGAUAUCAAGUGGCCUUUCACGAAAAACAACGGCAUCACAACUAGAAGUUUUCCAUGAUACGGAGUGCAGCUUAAGUGCUCAGCGACGCACGGAGAAUAACAUCGGUACAUGAAGGCAUAUCACAAUUAGAGGUUUUUGUGACCGUCGAGUGCAAUGCUAGAGACACAUCCAAUGACAAAUGCCGACGGACAUAUAGUGGCCUAC